UCGAGUCUUUGAACGCAAGUUGCGCCCGAGGCCAACCGGCCGAGGGCACGUCCGCCUGGGCGUCAAGCGUUGCAUCGCUCCGCGCCAACUCCGUCCCAUCGAUGGGUGGGCCCGCGCAGGCUCGGAUGUGGAGAGUGGCUCUUCUUGCCCAUGGGUGCG
RNAcentral lists this ribosomal RNA (159 nucleotides) under Dendrobium kingianum. RNAcentral describes it as "5.8S ribosomal RNA". Lineage: Eukaryota; Viridiplantae; Streptophyta; Magnoliopsida; Asparagales; Orchidaceae. The record is from RNAcentral.